This 257-nucleotide ribosomal RNA is filed under the name uncultured Pseudomonas sp. RNAcentral's name for it is "partial 16S ribosomal RNA". It matches the Rfam family "Bacterial small subunit ribosomal RNA", at positions 96 to 354 of the family's 1533-position model. The record is from RNAcentral. Lineage: Bacteria; Pseudomonadati; Pseudomonadota; Gammaproteobacteria; Pseudomonadales; Pseudomonadaceae.
CGGCGGACGGGUGAGUAAUGACUAGGAAUCUGCCUGGUAGUGGGGGACAACGUUUCGAAAGGAACGCUAAUACCGCAUACGUCCUACGGGAGAAAGCAGGGGACCUUCGGGCCUUGCGCUAUCAGAUGAGCCUAGGUCGGAUUAGCUAGUUGGUGAGGUAAUGGCUCACCAAGGCGACGAUCCGUAACUGGUCUGAGAGGAUGAUCAGUCACACUGGAACUGAGACGCGGUCCAGACUCCUACGGGAGGCAGCAGGU